GAUCAUGGCUCAGAUUGAACGCUGGCGGCAUGCCUUACACAUGCAAGUCGAACGGUAACAGGUCUUCGGACGCUGACGAGUGGCGAACGGGUGAGUAAUACAUCGGAACGUGCCCAGUCGUGGGGGAUAACUACUCGAAAGAGUAGCUAAUACCGCAUACGAUCUGAGGAUGAAAGCGGGGGGACCUUCGGCCGUCGCGCGAUUGGAGCGGCCGAUGGCAGAUUAGGUAGUUGGUGGGAUAAAG
RNAcentral lists this ribosomal RNA (244 nucleotides) under uncultured bacterium. RNAcentral's name for it is "partial 16S ribosomal RNA". It matches the Rfam family "Bacterial small subunit ribosomal RNA", at positions 15 to 262 of the family's 1533-position model. The record is from RNAcentral.